RNAcentral lists this ribosomal RNA (253 nucleotides) under uncultured archaeon. RNAcentral's name for it is "partial 16S ribosomal RNA". It matches the Rfam family "Archaeal small subunit ribosomal RNA", at positions 474 to 726 of the family's 1478-position model. The record is from RNAcentral.
CACCUGCGCCACGAGUGGCAACCAGUAUUAUUGGGCCUAAAGCGUUCGUAGCUGGUCUUGAAAAUUUCCUGUGAAAUCGUCUCGCUUAACGUGACGGCGUGCUGGAAACACUUCAAGACUUGGGACCGGGAGGCGUCAGAGGUAUUCUUGAGGGAGCGGUAAAAUGCUAUAAUCUCAGGAGGACCCCCUGUGGCGAAGGCGUCUGACGAGAACGGAUCCGACGGUGAGGAACGAAAGCCAGGGGAGCAAACCG